Molecule: long non-coding RNA, 1521 nt
Organism: Amphiprion ocellaris (clown anemonefish)
Lineage: Eukaryota; Metazoa; Chordata; Actinopteri; Pomacentridae
Exons: 3
Source: RefSeq, a predicted model, not a curated record
GCGCGACAAACACCGAGAAUCAGGAGAACUUUCCAAAGUGGAACGCUUAAAUUCAGUUCUAACGAGGGCAGAGAUGUGAGCCGACCUGUGGGUCAGAACCAGAACCGGCGUCGCUACUUUACCCAGAGCGAACCGUCCGGGGGUCCUCGACUUACGUUGGAGUUUCGUUCCUAUGAUUGAUGUAAGUCGAUUUUUGCGUUUUCACUCUGUAAUGUGUAUCAGGAGCCACAGUAGAGAGGUCAAGUUUGCUACAACUCACGAUUCAUUUUAUAAGAACAAAUUUAACUAGUUGGACAUCUGCAGCUUUUAUGUUGCAAGCAUCAGAAGAGUCUGACUGACGCUUAAGAGCCAUAAUGAAGGGCAAAAAGUUAGUGAAUGGAGAACAAUCCAACGUGGUGCACAACCGGAGAGUAGAAACACCAGUUCUGACGUAACGACAAAACAGCUUGGUCGAGGACAUCGUAAACCGAGGACCCCCUGAAUACCGUAGACCUUCCUCCAGCCCACGGCUUCCAGCUGCCCAUUUCCACCAAUCUACUCUGCAUUGCCCUCACUAUACUUGAUAUGCUCAUCUACAGACUGUUUGCAUCUUACGACCAGCUAUAUAUGUAGUAUAUUUAAUACCAGAGCCGUACACCAUAGAAGUAAACUAUGAAUCAGUUUCAGUGUUGGCUUCUACUUUGUAUGUAUCAUCUAUGUUGCUCUGAUCAUGCAUGUGUGUGUUAUAUGUUUCCUUGUCCACUACCCCCUCUACCUCUUCUGUCUCUCUCAACCAGCCAGCCAGCAGCAGAUGGGUCCCCCCCACAUAAAGAGCCGGGUUCUACUCAAGGUUUCUUCCCGUUAAAAGGGAGGUUUUUCUUGCCACUGUCUACUUGGCGCUGCUCUGGGGGUUCAUAUGGGUUCUGUAAAGUGUCUUGAGACAAUUUGACCUGUAAUUGGAGCUAUAUAAACAAAACUGAAUUGAAUAUGAUGUUUUGAUGCUAAGCUAGGCUAACAGGUUCCCCUUCCCUUCAGUCAUGGUGUAUAGCUGAGCUAACAGUGUUCUUCUGCUUCCACUCUGUAAGGGACUCAAAUUCAUUAUGGUUAAAAUUUGUGGAAUUUUAUUUUGAAAUGUACUUCUUGUGUUUUAUGUUGCCAUUUCCUGUUAUAAAGGAAGAUUAUUUUGAAAGGUCACUUAGCGCACAUAGCGAACUACAUAUGUAAACGGUACACGUUAAUGACGGUAAGAAGCACAGAGAGAGUAACGAGUGAGAGAAAAGGCAAAGAUAAACGGGAGAGUAAGGUGUAACAAGGAAUUUAGCUCCAGUUGAAAGUGGUAACAAGGUACAGUAAUUAUAGCUUCUCAAGGUUAUGGUUUAAAGGAAAUACGGUGGUAUUUAAGAAGUGAGCUAAUGUGACAUUUCUGUGUUUUAUUUCCGUUUUAGCUCUGAAGUUGGUCCUAUGUUGAGCUACAUUGGUCUAAGUUGGACUUGCAAACUGCAACCUGGUUUAUGAUCUGUAAUAAAAGACAUUUGACCAUCA